RNAcentral lists this long non-coding RNA (1339 nucleotides) under Prunus persica (peach). Its description in RNAcentral is "long non-coding RNA (PPER_LNC004122)". Lineage: Eukaryota; Viridiplantae; Streptophyta; Magnoliopsida; Rosales; Rosaceae. The record is from RNAcentral.
AGAAUUUCAGAAUUUUUUUUUAAUAAAUACAUAGCCAUAUUCUUCACUUCCUACACCAAAACUAUAUACAAAUUCCUCUCCUCAUAUCUCAUCUGAAUAGUGGUUGCCUUUUGAGUUGCCAUGGCUAUGGGUGAAAAACCAACAAAAAAAAUUGCAACGGCAAGCACUAUUCACAUGAAUAGUAAUAGCUCUCGCCUCCCCUUGCAUUUUGCCAUGACAAAUAGGUAGAAAUGCUCUUAAAGGACCCAAAAAUGAUCUGAGGACACUCAUGCUCAAAUUUUAAAAUUUUGAAAGUCAUAUUUACAAACAUACCCACCAACCAUGGUAUGAGUGUCAAAUAUAUUGCUCUUAAAAUAAAAUCCUACAAGUUUCCAUAAUCAUAUCCCUACAAAGUUAAAAGAAUCUAAAGGGAGAAGAUGAGCAAAGUUAACAACACAAGUUUAUUAUACAUUUGUUAUAUCAUAACACAUUAUAUCAUAUACAUUUUAUAUUUCAUCGCCAUCAAAAGAGAAACAAAAUGAAACAUAAUAAUUUAUAUUCCGUAACUUAAAAAGUAGUGAGGAGAUUAUUGCUAUAUCUGAAUCCCCAAAAGUUUUUUUCUUUCCCUUCUGGAAAGCAAGGUGAGCUAUAACUAGCUCAAACACAAGUAGUGUACUAAUAAUGGCCAACUCCCGGGCUUGGGACUGCCUCCUUCAGAAUCCGAUCGCGAUCAGCGUUAACAGAAUGAAGUUGAUGAAGAGUCAUGGCCAACUGCUUUUCAACAUUAAUUUUACUUGGCACUGCAUGGUGAUGUUCAUGCUCACCCAGAUCAGAAAGCUCAUCACCCUUUUCAUUGUUUUCAACUGUCAGUAGCCUUCUGGCUUCAAAAGAGGGGAUGCAGAAGGCUAGAGCAAAGAGGAGGACAAGAAAUAAUGUUACACAUAAACGAGCCAUAAUGCAUAACAAAAUUGUGACCAUAUCGUCAAGCUAUUAGCAUCUAUAUAUACACAAGUGCUGAGAGAUAGAGACGUGGGGUUAAGCAAAAUUGAUCACCAAGAUGUUUGAAAGUGAUCAAAAGAUGGAAUGUUUUGGGACAUAUCCAUUUACGAAAAAUAUGCAGAUAGUGGAUAUGUAUCUUUUUGAGUUAGGUGCACUUGAACUAUAGGUACAGUCACGCCGCGGCCUCCAUUAUUGGUAUUAUAUCGUUCUGUGAGUAUAUAUUCCACUCAAAUAUUAUCCAUGGCUCCAAGUCUUCAGCUGCCUAGAAAGUUAGAAAAGCUUGAAGAAAGCUAGCUACAGCAUUUCAUCAUGACUUUCCAUUCGUUGGUUCCUGCACUGCAACAAUGCCUGAGAUUAAAAC